RNAcentral lists this ribosomal RNA (293 nucleotides) under uncultured microorganism. RNAcentral describes it as "partial 16S ribosomal RNA". It matches the Rfam family "Bacterial small subunit ribosomal RNA", at positions 505 to 796 of the family's 1533-position model. The record is from RNAcentral.
GUGCCAGCAGCCGCGGUAAUACGAAGGGUGCAAGCGUUAAUCGGAAUUACUGGGCGUAAAGCGCGCGUAGGUGGUUCAGCAAGUUGGAUGUGAAAUCCCCGGGCUCAACCUGGGAACUGCAUCCAAAACUACUGAGCUAGAGUACGGUAGAAGGUGGUGGAAUUUCCUGUGUAGCGGUGAAAUGCGUAGAUAUAGGAAGGAACACCAGUGGCGAAGGCGACCACCUGGACUGAUACUGACACUGAGGUGCGAAAGCGUGGGGAGCAAACAGGAUUAGAUACCCCUGGUAGUCC